GCUAGUGUAACUUAAUUCAAAGUAUGGCACUGAAGAUGCUAAGAUGAAAAAUCGAAAUUUCCACAAGCA
Molecule: transfer RNA, 69 nt
Filed under: Notorynchus cepedianus (broadnose sevengill shark)
Lineage: Eukaryota; Metazoa; Chordata; Chondrichthyes; Hexanchiformes; Hexanchidae
Description: tRNA-Phe
Rfam family: tRNA
About the family: Transfer RNA (tRNA) molecules are approximately 80 nucleotides in length. Their secondary structure includes four short double-helical elements and three loops (D, anti-codon, and T loops).
Source: RNAcentral